GACGAACGCUGGCGGCGUGCCUAAUACAUGCAAGUCGAGCGAAUUUUUGGGAGCUUGCUCCCAAAGGUUAGCGGCGGACGGGUGAGUAACACGUGGGCAACCUGCCUAUAAGACUGGGAUAACUUCGGGAAACCGGAGCUAAUACCGGAUAAUUCAUAUCUACUCAUGUAGGUAUGCUGAAAGACGGUUUACGCUGUCACUUAUAGAUGGGCCCGCGGCGCAUUAGCUAGUUGGUGAGGUAACGGCUCACCAAGGCAACGAUGCGUAGCAGACCUGAGAGGGUGAUCGGCCACACUGGGACUGAGACACGGCCCAGACUCCUACGGGAGGCAGCAGUAGGGAAUCUUCCGCAAUGGACGAAAGUCUGACGGAGCAACGCCGCGUGAGUGAUGAAGGUUUUCGGAUCGUAAAACUCUGUUGUUAGGGAAGAACAAGUACUAGAGUAACUGCUAGUACCUUGACGGUACCUAACCAGAAAGCCACAGCUAACUACGUGCCAGCCGCCGCGGUAA
This 512-nucleotide ribosomal RNA is filed under the name uncultured bacterium. RNAcentral's name for it is "partial 16S ribosomal RNA". It matches the Rfam family "Bacterial small subunit ribosomal RNA", at positions 28 to 523 of the family's 1533-position model. The record is from RNAcentral.